Molecule: ribosomal RNA, 429 nt
Filed under: Bacteroidota bacterium
Lineage: Bacteria; Pseudomonadati; Bacteroidota
Description: Bacteroidetes bacterium partial 16S ribosomal RNA
Rfam family: Bacterial small subunit ribosomal RNA
Source: RNAcentral
UAGGGAAUCUUCGGCAAUGGGGGGAACCCUGACCGAGCAACGCCGCGUGAGUGAAGAAGGUUUUCGGAUCGUAAAGCUCUGUUGUUAAGGAAGAACGAGUGUGAGAAUGGAAAGUUCAUGCUGUGACGGUACUUAACCAGAAAGGGACGGCUAACUACGUGCCAGCAGCCGCGGUAAUACGUAGGUCCCGAGCGUUGUCCGGAUUUAUUGGGCGUAAAGCGAGCGCAGGAGGUUAGAAAAGUCUGAAGUGAAAGGCAGUGGCUCAACCAUUGUAGGCUUUGGAAACUGUUUAACUUGAGUGCAGAAGGGGAGAGUGGAAUUCCAUGUGUAGCGGUGAAAUGCGUAGAUAUAUGGAGGAACACCGGUGGCGAAAGCGGCUCUCUGGUCUGUAACUGACGCUGAGGCUCGAAAGCGUGGGGAGCGAACAGG